RNAcentral lists this unclassified non-coding RNA (1890 nucleotides) under Cimex lectularius (bed bug). RNAcentral's name for it is "aldehyde dehydrogenase family 3 member B1-like, transcript variant X3". Lineage: Eukaryota; Metazoa; Arthropoda; Insecta; Hemiptera; Cimicidae. The record is from RNAcentral.
AGAGAACUUUUUUUUGGCCGAGAAGAAGGCGAGGGUCGAUGGCAAGGGCAACGCUGGUGGUGGAAACGGACGCGGAGGCCGUGCUGCUACCGCGCCAGAGUCGGUCGUGCCUCGGUUCCAGACGAAGCUCAGCAAACUUGGAAGGACACAGGACCACCGACGCACCUGCAGAAGGACGAACACCGACGAACAUGGACUCGCCUCUCCUCUUUGUCACCGUGGACAAAAAGCCUCCGUCGCCGGACGAAUUGAAUCCCGCCAAAAUCAAAGAUACCAUGUCGCAAGAUAAAGACAUCGAUGGGGUAUUGCUGAAAGCGCGUACAGCGUUCGCAAAAGGGAAAUCGAAACCCUACGAAUUUAGAAAGCAACAAUUGAAGAACAUCAUUCGCAUGUGCGAAGUCCACAGAGAUGAGUUUUAUCAGGCUUUGAAAGAAGAUUUAAACAAGAGUGUAUUCGAGUCGGCGUUAACAGAAAUCGAUAUUACCAUAAACGAAGCGAAAAACGCGCUCAGCAAUCUAAAAUCAUGGAUGGAACCAUACAGUGUACGUCAUCCUCCGAAAACAAUUCUUACCUUGUUAGACGAAGCGGUCAUCGUGAACGACCCAAGAGGAGUCGUCUUGAUAAUCGGGGCGUGGAACUACCCGGUCAACCUGAUUCUGAUGCCGCUGAUCGGCGCGAUAGCUGCCGGCAACUGCGUCAUCCUGAAACCAUCGGAAAACUCUCCGGCGACGUCUAAAGCGUUGACCAAGAUAAUUCCCCAGUACUUGGACAAAGAUUGCUACCACGUCUUGUUCGGUGGAGUGAAACUCACGGAGAAUUUACUGAAACGGAAGUUCGACUACAUUUUCUACACCGGAUCGAAAAGGGUUGGACAACUGGUGAGAGCCGCUGCGAACGAACACCUGACGCCGGUCACUUUGGAAAUGGGCGGGAAAAGCCCAGUUUUUAUAGACAAGACUGCGAACAUAUCGAUAGCGGCGAGAAGGAUUCUCUGGGGCAAAUGCAUCAACUCCGGGCAGACUUGCAUCGCGCCCGAUUACAUCCUCUGCUCCAAAGACAUCCAAUCCAAACUGGUCGAGGAACUUAAAAAAGGCAUCGAGGAAUUUUUCGGCGAGAAACCGUUGGACUCGAAGGAUAUCUGCAGUAUAAUCAACGAAGUCCAUUUCAAGCGGCUUUGCUCGUUGCUCAAGGAAGGAACGAUCGUCGUGGGUGGCAACAUAAGGGAAAAAGACAGAAAGAUCGCUCCCACAGUACUAACAGACGUCAAACUCAAAGAAUCAGUAAUGGAAGAUGAGAUUUUCGGACCGAUUUUGCCCAUUUACAACGUCGAAACUGUCGAGGAUGCCGUCAACUUUAUAAACGAGAGUAAAUUCCCUGCCGUUCGGCGGAGUCGGAGCUAGUGGGAUUGGCGCAUACCAUGGCAAAUACACAUUUGACACGUUCACCCACAAAAAGAGUUGCGUCGUGAAGGGCUACAACGCCGUUUUGGAUCGUAUAUGGAGGAUACGCUACCCACCGUACACGACGAAAAAACAUCGUCUGUUGGCACACUUCUUGGGAAUGAGGAUGACCUUCUGUGGACCGCUGUUCGUAAACUCGAUUGUUUUCAUAUUCGGACUCAUCGUAGGACAACUGGGAAUACUUCUCUACAAGCGAUUCUCGGAGUGAUUUUCAUUAUUUAGACGGGAUAAUUUAAGGUUACAUCUAAUAAAUGUACACUGUUAGGAAUCAAGGUUUGUAUUGCACUAGUCAGCUGAGUUAUGGUUCUUGAGUAAAUAGUUUAACUUAGAGAGGGAGUUCAUGUUGCAUUAAAAUCUAUACUAUGUAAUAUCUAUAUUAUAUAAAUAAAUAUGCAUAAAAUAUAAAUGCUCGAGAGUACUACUGUAUUUA